UACCAGCUCUCCGAGUUGUAGGGAUGAUUAUUGGGCUUAAAGCGUCCGUAGCCGGCUUAGCAAGUCUCCUGUUAAAUUCAGCGACCUAAUCGUUGAGCCGCGGGAGAUACUACUAGGCUAGGAGGCGGGAGAGGUCGACGGUACUUUCGGGGUAGGGGUGAAAUCCUAUAAUCCCGGGAGGACCACCAGUGGCGAAGGCUGUCGACUAGAACGCGCUCGACGGUGAGGGACGAAAGCUGGGGGAGCGAACCGGAUUAGAUACCCGGGUAGUCCCAGCUGUAAACGAUGCGGGCUAGGUGUUGGGGUGGCUACGGGCCACUUCAGUGCCGCAGGAAAGCCAUUAAGCCCGCCGCCUGGGGAGUACGGCCGCAAGGCUGAAACUUAAAGGAAUUGGCGGGGAGCACCACAAGGCGUGAAGCUUGCGGUUC
This 428-nucleotide ribosomal RNA is filed under the name uncultured archaeon. RNAcentral describes it as "bacterial SSU rRNA". It matches the Rfam family "Archaeal small subunit ribosomal RNA", at positions 474 to 903 of the family's 1478-position model. The record is from RNAcentral.